GAUGAACGCUGGCGGCGUGCCUAAUACAUGCAAGUCGAGCGAACAGACGAGGAGCUUGCUCCUCUGACGUUAGCGGCGGACGGGUGAGUAACACGUGGAUAACCUACCUAUAAGACUGGGAUAACUUUGGGAAACCGGAGCUAAUACCGGAUAAUAUAUUGAACCGCAUGGUUCAAUAGUGAAAGACGGUUUUGCUGUCACUUAUAGAUGGAUCCGCGCCGCAUUAGCUAGUUGGUAAGGUAACGGCUUACCAAGGCAACGAUGCGUAGCCGACCUGAGAGGGUGAUCGGCCACACUGGAACUGAGACACGGUCCAGACUCCUACGGGAGGCAGCAGUAGGGAAUCUUCCGCAAUGGGCGAAAGCUUGACGGAGCAACGCCGCGUGAGUGAUGAAGGCCUUCGGAUCGUAAAACUCUGUUAUUAGGGAAGAACAAAUGUGUAAGUAACUAUGCACGUCUUGACGGUACCUAAUCAGAAAGCCACGGCUAACUACGUG
RNAcentral lists this ribosomal RNA (497 nucleotides) under uncultured bacterium. RNAcentral describes it as "partial 16S ribosomal RNA". It matches the Rfam family "Bacterial small subunit ribosomal RNA", at positions 28 to 507 of the family's 1533-position model. The record is from RNAcentral.